GUUCAUAAAGAAAUAAUUAGCUUAGACGAUUUAAAUUAUAAAAUUAAUAUAAUUUAUUAAAAUAUUUUUAUUAAUUAUAGUUAGGGAGUAGAAUUCAUUAAAUAAAGGUAUAUAAGUGAAAAAGAACACUUCCUUCCUUCCUUCAAAAAAUUUUUUUUUGGAAAAGAACACUAAAUAUUUAUUGAGACAUAAAUAAAAGGGUUAAUAGUGCUUUUCACCCUUGUAAUAUACG
RNAcentral lists this long non-coding RNA (232 nucleotides) under Medicago truncatula (barrel medic). RNAcentral describes it as "long non-coding RNA (MTRU_LNC006842)". Lineage: Eukaryota; Viridiplantae; Streptophyta; Magnoliopsida; Fabales; Fabaceae. The record is from RNAcentral.